AACGCAAAUUGCGCCUUCUUUCGGAGGGCAUGUCUGUUUGAGGGCACCAUUUAACAAAUAAUGUGCGCGUCGUUUUUACGAGCGACGUGCGCACGUUGAUGAGCUUUUCCGAAAAAACCAGGUUUUUUUGGUGGCGCAUAAUGAACAGCGUGGGCUUUUUCUUCGAUUCUCGUGUAGUAAAUCUUCAACGCUUGGGUUGAGAAAAAGUGCGUGCCGCGCAAUGGGUGUGGCGAAUUUUACCCCUGCCCCAAUGCCACUCUUUCCCUGCGAAAGAACAAUUUUUAUUCAGGGCCUCAAAUCAGACAAGAGUACCCGCUGAACUUAA
RNAcentral lists this unclassified non-coding RNA (325 nucleotides) under uncultured Paraglomerales. RNAcentral's name for it is "sequence contains ITS2". Lineage: Eukaryota; Fungi; Glomeromycota; Glomeromycetes; Paraglomerales. The record is from RNAcentral.